Molecule: transfer RNA, 67 nt
Filed under: Sypharochiton sinclairi
Lineage: Eukaryota; Metazoa; Mollusca; Polyplacophora; Chitonida; Chitonidae
Description: tRNA-Leu
Source: RNAcentral
AAUUAAAGUGGCAGAUAUUAGUGCAAUAAAGUUAAGUUUUAUAUAUGAGUUUAUACUCCUUUAAUUA